Molecule: ribosomal RNA, 253 nt
Filed under: uncultured bacterium
Lineage: Bacteria
Also listed under: 1 other name
Description: partial 16S ribosomal RNA
Rfam family: Bacterial small subunit ribosomal RNA
Source: RNAcentral
GACGUAGGGCGCGAGCGUUGUCCGGAUUUAUUGGGCGUAAAGAGCUCGUAGGCGGCUUGUUACGUCGACUGUGAAAACCCGCGGCUCAACUGCGGGCCUGCAGUCGAUACGGGCAGGCUAGAGUUCGGUAGGGGAGACUGGAAUUCCUGGUGUAGCGGUGAAAUGCGCAGAUAUCAGGAGGAACACCGGUGGCGAAGGCGGGUCUCUGGGCCGAUACUGACGCUGAGGAGCGAAAGCGUGGGGAGCGAACAGG